RNAcentral lists this transfer RNA (65 nucleotides) under Amblyomma testudinarium. RNAcentral's name for it is "tRNA-Leu". Lineage: Eukaryota; Metazoa; Arthropoda; Arachnida; Ixodida; Ixodidae. The record is from RNAcentral.
AUUAAAGUGACAGAAUAAAUGUAAGGAAUUUAAGCUUCCUUUAUGAAAUAAAGUUUCCUUUAAUA